AGAGUUUGAUCAUGGCUCAGGAUGAACGCUAGCUACAGGCUUAACACAUGCAAGUCGAGGGGAAACGACAUCGAAAGCUUGCUUUUGAUGGGCGUCGACCGGCGCACGGGUGAGUAACGCGUAUCCAACCUGCCCACCACUUGGGGAUAACCUUGCGAAAGUAAGACCUAAUACCCAAUGACGUCUCUAGAAGACAUCUGAAAGAGAUUAAAGAUUUAUCGGUGAUGGAUGGGGAUGCGUCUGAUUAGCUUGGUUGGCGGGGUAACGGCCGACCAAGGCGACGAUCGAGUAGGGGUUCUGAGACGGAAGGUCCCCACAUUGGAACUGAGACACGGUCCAAACGUCCUACGGAGGCA
This 356-nucleotide ribosomal RNA is filed under the name uncultured bacterium. Its description in RNAcentral is "bacterial SSU rRNA". It matches the Rfam family "Bacterial small subunit ribosomal RNA", at positions 8 to 350 of the family's 1533-position model. The record is from RNAcentral.